CCUACGGGUGGCUGCAGUGGGGAAUUUUGGACAAUGGGCGAAAGCCUGAUCCAGCAAUGCCGCGUGAGUGAAGAAGGCCUUCGGGUUGUAAAGCUCUUUUGUUUGGGAAGAAAUCCCUAAGGAUAAUACCCUUGGGGGAUGACGGUACCAAAAGAAUAAGCACCGGCUAACUACGUGCCAGCAGCCGCGGUAAUACGUCGGGUGCAUACGGUAAUCGAAGUUACUGGGCGUAAAUCUGGCACACAGGGGUGAAAUCCCCGAGCUCAACUUGGGAACUGAACUUGUGACUGCAAGACUAGAGUGUGUCAGAGGGAGGUAGAAUUCCACGUGUAGCAGUGAAAUGCGUAGAUAUGUGGAGGAAUACCAGUGGCGAAGGCGGCCUCCUGGGAUAACACUGACGCUCAUGUACGAAAGCGUGGGGAGCAAACAGGAUUAGAUACCCCUGUAGUC
RNAcentral lists this ribosomal RNA (450 nucleotides) under uncultured bacterium. Its description in RNAcentral is "partial 16S ribosomal RNA". It matches the Rfam family "Bacterial small subunit ribosomal RNA", at positions 338 to 795 of the family's 1533-position model. The record is from RNAcentral.